UUUCCGUAGGUGAACCUGCGGAAGGAUCAUUAUUGUAUUACAAAGCUCCGAGCGCUGUCUCUAACCCCAUAGGUGUUGCCCCCCCGACUGCCCUCACACACAUCCAUCCCACCCCUAUAUACACCCCCGCGGCGGCCACGCAUCUGUGUUUUUCGGUGGAGUGGCUUACAACUUCACACAACGUUUCUAUUCAUUCUGGCAUGUAUUAUUAGUUUUUGCGAUCACGCAAUCAAUCGAACUAUCACCAACCGAUCACUUGGCUCUCGCAUCGCUGCAGAA
Molecule: unclassified non-coding RNA, 279 nt
Filed under: plant metagenome
Description: partial contains small subunit ribosomal RNA, internal transcribed spacer 1, and 5.8S ribosomal RNA
Source: RNAcentral